This 636-nucleotide long non-coding RNA is filed under the name Theobroma cacao (cacao). Its description in RNAcentral is "long non-coding RNA (TCAC_LNC005259)". Lineage: Eukaryota; Viridiplantae; Streptophyta; Magnoliopsida; Malvales; Malvaceae. The record is from RNAcentral.
GAUUAAGAGACAGUCGGUAACUAGGAUAAGGUGUCCUCGUGGGCUUGUAUCCAUCUUUUAGUAGGUGUCUCGACAUUCAAUAGCUGUACAUUUGUCAGAGUAUCUCGCUGGACAUCGAGUCUCCUUUUGUUGUGUAUAGACGAACCUAAUGUGAAUUAUUAAGAUACAUGUGUAGACAGUUUAUAUACACUUGUUUGAUAUGCCAGUAUGAAGUGGCAAUGCUUAAUAUUAUUUUGAUUCUAAGUUAUGAUAUAUGACUUAGUAGUUUAUGAUGGAAUGAUGAACAUGUCAGAUUAAUAGGCUUGCUUGGGCUUAGUGGACUACAUCCAUUAGGCCCAUGCACCGGUCAUGACCCAGAAUUUGGGUCGUGACACCCAACUUGGCUUAACUUCAAAGCCCUAUAAAAACAACCUUUCAGAUGACUUUUAAUAGGGGAGAGAAUGAGACACCAGAUUGAGAGUUGAGAUUCAAGCCACAAAAUUAUUGAAAAAGGUCUCAUUGGAGCUAAAAAGAAAUCGAAGGAUUGAAGAAGAUUUGGAGAUCAAGAGUUUCACUCUUGGAGUUUCUUUAUUUUUUAUUUUUCUUGGUUUAGUAUUAAUGUUUAAACUUUAUUCAAUGACUAUGUGUGACUUGAUG